Molecule: transfer RNA, 87 nt
Filed under: Poecilia formosa (Amazon molly)
Lineage: Eukaryota; Metazoa; Chordata; Actinopteri; Cyprinodontiformes; Poeciliidae
Rfam family: tRNA
About the family: Transfer RNA (tRNA) molecules are approximately 80 nucleotides in length. Their secondary structure includes four short double-helical elements and three loops (D, anti-codon, and T loops).
Source: Rfam by way of RNAcentral
CCUUCGAUAGCUCAGUUGGUAGAGCGGAGGACUGUAGAGGCUUCAGCUGAAAUCCUUAGGUCGCUGGUUCGACUCCGGCUCGAAGGA